UGAGGAAUAUUGGUCAAUGGGCGCAAGCCUGAACCAGCCAUCCCGCGUGCAGGAAGACGGCCCUAUGGGUUGUAAACUGCUUUUCCAGGGGGAGAAACUUGCGCACGUGUUGCGCAAUUGACGGUACCCUGGGAAUAAGCAUCGGCUAACUCCGUGCCAGCAGCCGCGGUAAUACGGAGGAUGCGAGCGUUAUCCGGAUUCAUUGGGUUUAAAGGGUGCGUAGGCGGACUAUUAAGUCAGUGGUGAAAUCCUGCAGCUUAACUGCAGAACUGCCAUUGAUACUGAUAGCCUUGAGUUUGGUUAAGGUAGGCGGAAUGUGUAAUGUAGCGGUGAAAUGCUUAGAUAUUACACAGAACACCAAUUGCGUAGGCAGCUUACUGAGCCGACACUGACGCUGAGGCACGAAAGCGUGGGGAUCGAACAGG
Molecule: ribosomal RNA, 425 nt
Filed under: uncultured bacterium
Lineage: Bacteria
Description: bacterial SSU rRNA
Rfam family: Bacterial small subunit ribosomal RNA
Source: RNAcentral